CAACAGGCAACGAUCAUUGGUUAGAAAAUUGAAUUUAUCAAAAGCCGGUGUAUUGCGUUGUUUCAAGAUAUUUUUCUGAAGAUUUCAUAUUUUUUCGAAUUGAGAGUAUACAGAAUUUUUACAACAAGCCAUUAUGGAACUCACCGAUGACAACUUGCUUACACUCAGUGAAUAUUUAAAGCAUACACUUAGCCCCGAUGUAAAUGUUAGACGGCCAGCCGAAAAAUUUUUAGAAUCAGUUGAAAUAAAUCAAAAUUAUCCAUUACUUCUUUUACAUCUUGUGGAUAAGUCUGAAAUCAAUAUAACUAUAAGAAUCGCUGGAGCUGUUGCAUUUAAAAAUUAUGUAAAACGUAAUUGGAAAGUGGGAGAAGAUUCUGUAGAUCGUAUACAUGCGCAAGAUAGGGAUGCUAUAAAAAAAUUAAUUGUUAAUCUAAUGCUGCAUUCUCCUGAUUCUGUUCAAAAACAGUUAUCUGAUGCUGUUUCAAUAGUUGGAAAGUAUGAUUUCCCAAAUAAAUGGCCAGAGCUUAUCGACCAAAUGGUUGACAAAUUCAAUACAGGCGAUUUUCAUGUUAUCAAUGGUGUCUUACAUACAGCACAUUCAUUAUUUAAAAGAUAUAGAUAUGAAUUUAAGAGUCAGAGCCUAUGGACUGAGAUAAAAUUUGUAUUGGAUAGAUUUGCUAAACCUUUGACAGAUCUAUUUGUUGCUACAAUGAAUCUAAUGCAAGUACAUGCAAACAAUAUAGAUGCAUUGAAAGUUAUAUAUAGCUCUUUGGUAAUUUUAUCCAAGGUGUUCUACUCUCUUAAUUUCCAAGAUUUACCAGAAUUUUUUGAAGACAAUAUGGCUGUGUGGAUGAGGAAUUUUCAUAUUUUGUUGAAUACAAAUGUUCCCUCUCUUCAAUCUACUGACGAAGAAGAACCAGGAGUAAUUGAACAGUUAAAGUCACAAGUUUGUGACAAUAUUGGCCUUUAUGCUCAGAAAUAUGAUGAAGAGUUUCAACCAUACUUACCUGAAUUCGUAACUGCUGUAUGGAAUUUACUAACAUCGACUGGGCAACAACCAAAAUAUGAUACUCUAGUUUCGAAUGCCUUGCAAUUUUUAGCAACAGUAGCUGACCGUGCUCAAUAUAGAAACUUGUUCGAAGAUCCAACCACUUUGAGCAAUAUUUGUGAAAAGGUUAUAAUACCUAAUAUGGAAUUUAGAGAGUCGGAUAAUGAAUUAUUUGAGGAUAAUCCUGAGGAAUAUAUCAGGCGAGAUAUUGAGGGUAGCGAUGUCGAUACACGAAGACGUGCUGCCUGUGAUUUAGUUAAAGUACUUUCUAAAUAUUUUGAAGCGAAAAUAAUGGAAAUUUUUGGUGCCUAUAUACAGGUGAUGUUACAAAAUUAUGCUGAUAAACCAGUUGAAAAUUGGCGCAGUAAGGAUGCUGCAAUUUAUCUAGUCACCAGUAGUGCAAGCAAAGCUCAAACACAAAAACAUGGUGUUACGCAGAGCAGCGAGCUUGUUUCGUUACCUCAAUUUGCAAUGCAACAUAUUGAACCGGAGUUAGUCAAACCAAAUGUGAAUGAAUUUUCUGUACUUAAAGCUGAUGCAAUUAAAUUUAUAAUGACCUUCAGAUCAAUAUUGCCAAGAGAAAUGAUAAUUGGUAGUUUACCACAACUAAUUAGGCAUUUAAGUGCUUCAAAUAUCGUUGUACACACAUAUGCUGCUUGCACGAUUGAAAAAAUACUCGCAAUGAAAGGACCCGAUAAUACACCUUUAGUUAAAGCAAAUGAUUUAUCACCAUUGACGUCGGAUUUAUUAAAGGGUCUAUUUGCAUGUUUAAAUACACCUGGCUCAGAAGAAAACGAAUAUGUAAUGAAAGCUAUCAUGAGAAGCUUCGGUGUUCUACAAGAGGUGAUUGUACCAUUCUUAGCAGAUCUUCUCCCAAAACUUACAGAAAAACUUUCUAUUGUAUCUAAAAAUCCAAGUCGUCCCAAUUUUAACCAUUAUCUCUUCGAAACAUUUGCUUUAUCAAUUAAAAUCGUUUGUAAAACACACAAAGUUGCAGUAUCGUCAUUUGAAGAAGCACUGUUCCCAAUUUUUCAAGAAAUCUUACAACAAGAUGUUUUAGAAUUUCUACCAUACGUUUUUCAAAUCCUUGCUUUACUUCUGGAACUACGAACGACACAGGAUAUGCCAGAAGCGUAUUUGGCUUUGUUCCCUUGUCUAUUAUCAUCCGUUUUAUUUGAACGCCAAGCUAAUAUUCACCCAUUAAAUCGAUUAUUAAGAGCUUUCAUUAGUCAUGGUGCACAUCAUAUCGUAGCACAAGAUAAGACAAAUGGUUUAUUAGGUGUAUUCCAAAAAUUGAUUGCCUCAAAGGCUAAUGAUCACGAAGGUUUCCUAUUAUUACAAAGUAUUAUUGAAUAUUUUGCACCGAAUGUAUUAGAACCAUAUAUGAAACAAAUUUUUGUGCUAUUGUUCCAAAGACUUUCAUCUUCGAAAACGACAAAAUUUGUAAAGGGUCUAAUCGUAUUUUUUGCGUACUAUAUUAUUAGAUAUGGCUCAAAUAAUUUGGUUACAAUUAUUGAUCAAAUACAAUCUCGAAUGUUUGGUAUGGUUGUAGAACGCGUAUUAAUAGCAGAUAUGCAAAAAGUAUCAGGUGAUAUCGAACGAAAAGUAACUGCUGUGGGAAUGUCAAAUUUACUAAUUGAUUGCCCAAUGAUACUAGAAAGGCCAUAUAAUACAUAUUAUCCCCGUUUAUUAGCAACGUUAGUAGAAUUUUUCGAAUUACCACAGGAUCAGACUACAUUAUCCGAAGAUAAUAUAUUCCCAGAAACUGAAGAUACGCCUGGGUAUCAAGUAGGAUAUAGUCAACUGCUUUGUGGAAAAAAUCCUCCAAAAGAUCCUCUGGAAGCUAUUGGCGACGUACGUUUACAUUUAGCACAAGGAUUAGCAAGAUUGUCACCAAGACAAUUACUUAGUAUUCUUGACCAAAUUCCAGAACCUAAUGCAAACCACCUGAGAGGCUACCUUCAAACGGUUGGCAUUACCGUUGCAUAAUACGAGCUAGAUGUCCGAGAUAGACUAAAAAUUCAUCUGAUUGCUCGGAAAAUAAACAACAUUGAAUUGAAUAAAUUAUAACAAAGAAGUGAAAGAGGUUGUUUUCCGGCAUUUAUAUCAUGAACAUUUGCGAGACUGAACAUCGUAUCGUUUAUCUAUCAUGUAAUUGAACAUUUCAACAAUUAUUUAUCAUUUUCAUGUGAUAUAUUGUACGGAGUCUAUGACACUAAAAAUGAUUAAAAAAAGGAAAAUAUGCUAAAACUUUAGCACAAAAACCAUUAAAAAUAAUCAGCUGCUACGUAUUAUUUGUAUGUGGAAACAUUCCUGAGGAAUUACUUAAAUCAGUUCACAUUUUGUACAAUAACAAGGACGACAAGCGCGUCUUUUUAAAUUAACUGGUCUCUUGUCUAAAAAAUACGUGAAUGUCUAAUUAAAUGAUACUGUAUCGACUAAUGGCCUGCCAUUUAUGCAAUAAUAGCAACAAUAAAGUAAGGCAAUAUCAAGAUUUAUACAGUGGAGAAAUCGACAAAGGGACGGCUCUAUGUGAAAAAAAAGCUGAAAAUGUUGAAUAAAAUUUCUUUAUAUGAAGUUUUAUUUACAGAAAAACAGUUCGAAAAUUUAUCAGGUCUAUUUGAACUUAGCUAGUUCUGAACUAAACAGGAGUGAAUAGACGGCAGGAAAUUAUUCUGCAUGUAAAAACAAGCCCUAAAUAUAAAAUCAAAUUUUGCCAUAAGACGCUUCGUUUUUAGGAAAAUUAAAUUUUAAAAUUUAUCAAAUACGUAUGUAUCAGGCCCAUUCUUAAAUAAAAAUAUUCAAACUCUAUUUUUUUUUUUAAAUCAAGACCUUAAAUGGCUUAAAUAGACAAAUUGUAUCACGCGUGAAUUUUAAUCUAUACUCUUUACUUAUUUUCACAUGUAGAAUAACCUUCCACUGAUUAUCUACUCAUCGGUAAUUAGCCAAAUUUAUAUAUGCUAAAUAAUUUUUCAAAUUCGAUUUUAUCAAAAAACAGCAAACAUCGUAUGAAAAGAUUGUAUUUUAUAAUUUCAAUUAACUUUUUCAUGUAGAAUCGCUCUCUUACUCAUUACUCAUUACUCACCAUGGUUAUUGGAACAUUGCAUUUUUAAAUCGCUAAAGCUUCAUUUUUUCUUAAAAAAAUGUUUUAUAUAAUUAUAUAUUAUUUGAAUUUAUUAAUUGAUAUAAAAGUAAUUAUACAAUUUAUAGACUUUUUCUAGUUAUUUGACUUCAGUCUUUUUCAUAAACUUGUAAAGCAUGGUAUAAUAAGAGGGUGAUUCUGUGUGAAAAAUAAAUUGAAAAUAUGCAAUAAAAUGUUUUCACACUGUGCUUUUUUUUUUUUUUUUUUUUUUUGAGAAAAUCGAAUUUAAAAAUUUGUUUCUAUACGUAUAUGAACUUCGCUAAUACCGACUAGGUACAAACUGAAAUAAGUAAACAAUUAACAAGAGAUUCUUUUAUAUGUAAAAAUAAAUAAAAAAUGUAGAAUAACA
This is an RNA transcript of Bombus huntii, 4539 nucleotides long. It is a transcript of the gene named exportin-2, with no coding region annotated. The transcript has 17 exons. The record is from RefSeq and is a predicted model, not a curated record. NCBI's taxonomy places the organism in Eukaryota, Metazoa, Arthropoda, Insecta, Hymenoptera, Apidae.